This 441-nucleotide ribosomal RNA is filed under the name uncultured bacterium. Its description in RNAcentral is "partial 16S ribosomal RNA". It matches the Rfam family "Bacterial small subunit ribosomal RNA", at positions 338 to 795 of the family's 1533-position model. The record is from RNAcentral.
CCUACGGGAGGCAGCAGUGGGGAAUAUUGCACAAUGGGGGAAACCCUGAUGCAGCGACGCCGCGUGAGUGAAGAAGUAUCUCGGUAUGUAAAGCUUCAUUUGUCGGGAAGAAGAAACACGGUCCCUGACUAAGAAGCCACGGCUAACUACGUGCCAGUAGCCGCGGUAAUACGCAGGGGCCAAGCGUUAUCCGGAUUUACUGGGUGUAAAGGGAGCGUAGGCGGCUGUGCAAGUCUGAAGUGAAAGCCCAGGGCUCAACCCUGAGACUGCUUUGGAAACUGUGGAGCUCGAGUGCUGGAGAGGUAAGUGGAAUGCCUGGUGUAGCGGUGAAAUGCGUAGAUAUUAGGAGGAACACCGAUGGCGAAGGCAGCUUACUGGACAGUAACUGACGUUGAGGCUCGAAAGCGUGGGGAGCAAACAGGAUUAGAUACCCCAGUAGUC